This 465-nucleotide ribosomal RNA is filed under the name Vreelandella stevensii. RNAcentral's name for it is "partial 16S ribosomal RNA". It matches the Rfam family "Bacterial small subunit ribosomal RNA", at positions 338 to 795 of the family's 1533-position model. Lineage: Bacteria; Pseudomonadati; Pseudomonadota; Gammaproteobacteria; Oceanospirillales; Halomonadaceae. The record is from RNAcentral.
CCUACGGGUGGCUGCAGUGGGGAAUAUUGGACAAUGGGGGCAACCCUGAUCCAGCCAUGCCGCGUGUGUGAAGAAGGCCCUCGGGUUGUAAAGCACUUUCAGUGAGGAAGAACGCCUGGUGGUUAAUACCCAUCAGGAAAGACAUCACUCACAGAAGAAGCACCGGCUAACUCCGUGCCAGCAGCCGCGGUAAUACGGAGGGUGCGAGCGUUAAUCGGAAUUACUGGGCGUAAAGCGCGCGUAGGUGGCUUGAUAAGCCGGUUGUGAAAGCCCCGGGCUCAACCUGGGAACGGCAUCCGGAACUGUCAAGCUAGAGUGCAGGAGAGGAAGGUAGAAUUCCCGGUGUAGCGGUGAAAUGCGUAGAGAUCGGGAGGAAUACCAGUGGCGAAGGCGGCCUUCUGGACUGACACUGACACUGAGGUGCGAAAGCGUGGGUAGCAAACAGGAUUAGAUACCCGGGUAGUC